RNAcentral lists this ribosomal RNA (472 nucleotides) under uncultured organism. RNAcentral describes it as "partial 16S ribosomal RNA". It matches the Rfam family "Bacterial small subunit ribosomal RNA", at positions 334 to 797 of the family's 1533-position model. The record is from RNAcentral.
CACUCCUACGGGAGGCAGCAGUGGGGAAUUUUGGACAAUGGGCGAAAGCCUGAUCCAGCCAUGCCGCGUGCAGGAUGAAGGCCUUCGGGUUGUAAACUGCUUUUGUACGGAACGAAACGGCCUUUUCUAAUAAAGAGGGCUAAUGACGGUACCGUAAGAAUAAGCACCGGCUAACUACGUGCCAGCAGCCGCGGUAAUACGUAGGGUGCAAGCGUUAAUCGGAAUUACUGGGCGUAAAGCGUGCGCAGGCGGUUAUGUAAGACAGUUGUGAAAUCCCCGGGCUCAACCUGGGAACUGCAUCUGUGACUGCAUAGCUAGAGUACGGUAGAGGGGGAUGGAAUUCCGCGUGUAGCAGUGAAAUGCGUAGAUAUGCGGAGGAACACCGAUGGCGAAGGCAAUCCCCUGGACCUGUACUGACGCUCAUGCACGAAAGCGUGGGGAGCAAACAGGAUUAGAAACCCUUGUAGUCCCA